GGUUUCUUUCUCGCCCUUCUCUUCUCUUCUCUUCUCUUCUCUAUAAAUAACUAAGCUCCAUGGCAGCACUGGUGGCUGGUGAGCGGUGACAGCCAGAGAACGCACAGAAGCGGAUCUCUGCAAUUUUAUAAUUCUUCAUAUUAGGUCUCUGUGUUUGUAGUCUUAGGAUAUGAUAACUCUUUUGCAAUAUUUUGAAGCCUAAUAUUGCAAUUCUUUGAUCUCUUCCGAAAUCGGAGAUAGAUCAAGGAAUCUAUCGUUAGGCAAUAGUAAUUGUUUUAUUUUGUAUGCAUGAAAUUUUUCAAUUUCAUGUAUACUCUGCCUUUAGCUCCGAUUUUCCUCUCCUUUCUUUAGGAAUUAUCGGUGACAAGGUAGAUACAAUUGAAAUCCAUGAAAAGGGUGUGAUGGUGAUGGAGGAUGAUGAAACAAAUCAGACGGAUUCCCACUGAUUUUACUAAAUAUGAUAGUUACCAGCUACUUCUGACUCUUCAUCAUUAUACCUUUUUUUUGUACUUUUUUUCUUUUUUUAAGAAAAUGAGUUUAGAAAUUUGUUUUAAAGAUAAUAUAUAGGCCGGUGAUGUGAGAAAAAAUAUUUGCUACUCUUGAUGGGAUUCUAACGAAGGAAUUCCCCAGUUGAUGAUUCUUUUCCACCAAGAUCUCUGAGGCCUUGACUAGGAUCUGCCAUAUCAAGUUUCAUACUGUAUUUCACCAGUUUAAAGGAUUGAUUGCCAUUUUUUAACUCGAUUUCUCCUAAAUAUACAACUCAAAUUUGCAAUUCCAAUUUGUAAUACUCGAAUUAUAUUGGAAGCUAAGUUCUUGAUUUUGCUGGGAAAAGGAAGCAAAGCAAUUGAAAACGGAAUUUUGAAUUUUUAAAUUUGAGCACUGAUUACUCGUCAUUGCUACAUUUUGAAGGAUCAAUCUUGACUUGUCUUUUUGGUAUAGAGAGGUUGAGUGGUGAGCUAUGUAAGAAUACUUGAAAUGAAGCCCCUUUUACAAAAGGGCAUAUAAGUCUUUAUUUAUAGAAUCGUAUGAUUUUCAUUUGCAAUGAGCCAAUAAUACUCACAAAGCUAUUUUAGCCA
Molecule: long non-coding RNA, 1076 nt
Organism: Jatropha curcas
Lineage: Eukaryota; Viridiplantae; Streptophyta; Magnoliopsida; Malpighiales; Euphorbiaceae
Source: RefSeq, a predicted model, not a curated record